CGGAAUGGUCCAGGGUCAACAGUACCAUAAUUACUUUCAAAUGUCAGCCUACAAUAAAAUACAACAGUUCAUCUGGCAGAGAGCAAAUUAGCUUUGACCAUGGCGUAAUUACCCUUUCCAGAAGAACCAUUAGCAGAGAUCAAAUCUGCCCGUCCAGUGUUUGAGGAAAGGCCAUCAGAGUACACUCCACCUGACAAGGAUGCACAUUUGCCAUUUUGCAAGGCUGCUUCCUGGCAUGCCGAUUAGCAGGGCGAGAGCCGCGUGAUGAGGAGAGGGAGAGGAGCCGGGCCUGGGAGCCAACUUUCUCCAGAGCUGUGAAUGGAGGAUUAAGCUCAGGGAGCCGGGCAUGGACAGGUGCCCAGCCGAGAUGCAGAGCUUCCCAGGUAAAAAUGGGCUUCCAGCUUGGCAUGCAGACAAACAUAAACUUAC
This is a long non-coding RNA of Cyprinus carpio carpio, 429 nucleotides long. NCBI's taxonomy places the organism in Eukaryota, Metazoa, Chordata, Actinopteri, Cypriniformes, Cyprinidae. The record is from Ensembl.